GCAUUAUACCGUGAAACUGCGAAUGGCUCAUUAAAUCAGUUAUCGUUUAUUUGAUAGUACCUUACUACUUGGAUAACCGUGGUAAUUCUAGAGCUAAUACAUGCUGAAAACCCCGACUUACGAAGGGGUGUAUUUAUUAGAUAAAAAACCAACGCCCUUCGGGGCUUCUUGGUGAUUCAUGAUAACUUUACGGAUCGCAUGGCCUUGCGCCGGCGACGGUUCAUUCAAAUUUCUGCCCUAUCAACUUUCGAUGGUAAGGUAUUGGCUUACCAUGGUUUCAACGGGUAACGGGGAAUUAGGGUUCGAUUCCGGAGAGGGAGCCUGAGAAACGGCUACCACAUCCAAGGAAGGCAGCAGGCGCGCAAAUUACCCAAUCCCGACACGGGGAGGUAGUGACAAUAAAUACUGAUACAGGGCUCUUUUGGGUCUUGUAAUUGGAAUGAGUACAAUUUAAACCUCUUAACGAGGAACAAUUGGAGGGCAAGUCUGGUGCCAGCAGCCGCGGUAAUUCCAGCUCCAAUAGCGUAUAUUAAAGUUGUUGCAGUUAAAAAGCUCGUAGUUGAAACUUGGGCCUGGCUGGCAGGUCCGCCUCACCGCGUGUACUUGUCCGGCCGGGUCUUCCUUCUGGAGAACCUCAUGCCCUUCACUGGGCGUGUUGGGGACCAGGACUUUUACUUUGAAAAAAUUAGAGUGUUCAAAGCAGGCCUUUGCUCGAAUACGUUAGCAUGGAAUAAUAGAAUAGGACGUGCGGUCCUA
Molecule: ribosomal RNA, 756 nt
Filed under: Setophoma terrestris
Lineage: Eukaryota; Fungi; Ascomycota; Dothideomycetes; Pleosporales; Phaeosphaeriaceae
Description: SSU rRNA
Rfam family: Eukaryotic small subunit ribosomal RNA
Source: RNAcentral